Salvia splendens (bonfire salvia) is the source of this 851-nucleotide long non-coding RNA. RefSeq lists it as uncharacterized. The transcript has 2 exons. The record is from RefSeq and is a predicted model, not a curated record. Lineage: Eukaryota; Viridiplantae; Streptophyta; Magnoliopsida; Lamiales; Lamiaceae.
CGCUCCGCUUUCAAAUAUAUUAAGGAAAAAAUAAUUUCAAUUAAAUGAGAAAUUGCUAAUUUAUCUAACUACUAUCAUAUAUCGAAUAAAUCCUCGAGAAAUCCUAUAUUAGCAUUUAAAUUUUUGAGGUGUCUCAAAAUUUAAAAAGUUCAAACAAAUAUUGUGUCAUUUUGCCUUUGUGUAUCAAAGGUGAAACAUUUUCUAUAACCCAAAAACCCUAAUUUAGGUCAGGAUUCAGUGCUGAAUGAAUCUGCAAAACAUCGCACUCGAAAUUAAAGUAGUUAUUAGGUGGCAUCGUAAGUCCGAUUCACAGAAUUCCCAGCAAUUUUGAUUCAAAUCCAGUUCAGUUAAUUUGUGAGGUGAGCGAGCAGGAGUCGGUGCUCGAUGCUAACUCGCUCGAAACUCGUUGAACAACUCAGAGAUUACCAGGUCCGAUCCCAGCACAAGUGUCCCCCUCUUGCCGUCUUCUCCCCCAAACCCCUUCUUUCAACCUGGAGUGAUGUUGCACUUGCUGUUUUUUGGGCCUUAUUAUUUAUUGCCCUCCUAAUUUCAUCGUAUAUUACCCUUUACCUAAAACGCUACUGGGUUUCCUACAUUGUACUAUGCCUCGGUAUCCUUCUUCCUAUACGUUUGAGAAUUCUGCGGCAGUCACUUGCUAGAAAGAGAGACAGAAGACUGAUGCUGCCUCUAUCCAUGUGAGUUGGAGAGACUCAAAAUAACUAUAGCAAAAGUGGGAUUCUUGACUUCAGACUUUGCAGCUUUUUUAAUCUGUCCAUUUUAAUUAUUUAAUUAUUUUUCUAAAAUUGAGUAUCAUUUUAAUAAUUUAAUAAUGGAGUAUCAUUUUUCUAAAA